This 468-nucleotide ribosomal RNA is filed under the name uncultured bacterium. RNAcentral's name for it is "partial 16S ribosomal RNA". It matches the Rfam family "Bacterial small subunit ribosomal RNA", at positions 28 to 507 of the family's 1533-position model. The record is from RNAcentral.
GACGAACGCUGGCGGCGUGCUUAACACAUGCAAGUCGAACGGAAAGGCCCUGCUUUUGUGGGGUGCUCGAGUGGCGAACGGGUGAGUAACACGUGAGUAACCUGCCCUUGACUUUGGGAUAACUUCAGGAAACUGGGGCUAAUACCGGAUAGGAGCUCCUGCUGCAUGGUGGGGGUUGGAAAGUUUCGGCGGUUGGGGAUGGACUCGCGGCUUAUCAGCUUGUUGGUGGGGUAGUGGCUUACCAAGGCUUUGACGGGUAGCCGGCCUGAGAGGGUGACCGGCCACAUUGGGACUGAGAUACGGCCCAGACUCCUACGGGAGGCAGCAGUGGGGAAUAUUGCACAAUGGGCGGAAGCCUGAUGCAGCAACGCCGCGUGCGGGAUGACGGCCUUCGGGCUGUAAACCGCUUUCGCCUGUGACGAGGCGUGAGUGACGGUAAUGGGUAAAGAAGCACCGGCUAACUACGUG